Molecule: ribosomal RNA, 393 nt
Filed under: uncultured bacterium
Lineage: Bacteria
Description: partial 16S ribosomal RNA
Rfam family: Bacterial small subunit ribosomal RNA
Source: RNAcentral
AUACGGAGGAUCCGAGCGUUAUCCGGAUUUAUUGGGUUUAAAGGGUGCGCAGGCGGGAGAUUAAGUCGGCGGUGAAAUUUUGCAGCUCAACUGUAAAAGUGCCUUCGAAACUGGUUUCCUUGAGUGUAGAUGAAGUAGGCGGGAUUUGUGGUGUAGCGGUGAAAUGCAUAGAUAUCACGAGGAAAUCCGAUUGCGCAGGCAGCUUACUAAACUACUACUGACGCUCAGGCACGAAGGCGUGGGGAUCAAACAGGAUUAGAUACCCUGGUAGUCCACGCAGUAAACGAUGAUUACUAGCUGUUUGCGAUACAAUGUAAGCGGCUGAGCGAAAGCGUUAAGUAAUCCACCUGGGGAGUACGUUCGCAAGAAUGAAACUCAAAGGAAUUGACGGGG